RNAcentral lists this ribosomal RNA (490 nucleotides) under uncultured bacterium. RNAcentral describes it as "partial 16S ribosomal RNA". It matches the Rfam family "Bacterial small subunit ribosomal RNA", at positions 28 to 507 of the family's 1533-position model. The record is from RNAcentral.
GAUGAACGCUAGCUACAGGCUUAACACAUGCAAGUCGCGGGGCAGCAUGGGGGUUGCUUGCAAUCCCCGAUGGCGACCGGCGCACGGGUGAGUAACGCGUAUCCAACCUGCCCUUCACCACGGGAUAACCCGGCGAAAGUCGGACUAAUACCGUAUGUUGUCCAUUGACGGCAUCCGAUUUGGACGAAAGGCUUGGCGGUGAGGGAUGGGGAUGCGUCCGAUUAGCCAGACGGCGGGGUAACGGCCUCCCGUGGCUACGAUCGGGAGGGGUUCUGAGAGGAAGGUCACCCACACGGGAACUGAGACACGGUCCAGACUCCUACGGGAGGCAGCAGUGAGGAAUAUUGGUCAAUGGGCGUAAGCCUGAACCAGCCAAGUAGCGUGCAGGAUGACGGCCCUAUGGGUUGUAAACUGCUUUUAUGCGGGGAUAAAGUGGCCCACGUGUGGGCUUUUGCAGGUACCGCAUGAAUAAGGACCGGCUAAUUCCGUG